This 848-nucleotide ribosomal RNA is filed under the name uncultured Sphingobacteriales bacterium. Its description in RNAcentral is "bacterial SSU rRNA". The stretch from base 8 to 499 matches the Rfam family "Bacterial small subunit ribosomal RNA", at positions 9 to 546 of the family's 1533-position model. The record is from RNAcentral. Lineage: Bacteria; Pseudomonadati; Bacteroidota; Sphingobacteriia; Sphingobacteriales.
UUGACUAAAGUUUGAUCCUGGCUCACAACGAACGCUGGCGGCAGGCCUAACACAUGCAACUCCAACGGUUCCUUCGGGGACAGUGGCAGACGGGUGAGUAACGCGUGGGAAUCUACCUUGUGGUACGGAACAACCAAGGGAAACUUGUGCUAAUACCGUAUGUGCCCUUCGGGGGAAAGAUUUAUCGGUAAAGGAUCGGCCCGCGUUGGAUUAGCUAGUUGGUGGGGUAAAGGCCUACCAAGGCGACGAUCCAUAGCUGGUCUGAGAGGAUGAUCAGCCACAUUGGGACUGAGACACGGCCCAAACUCCUACGGGAGGCAGCAGUGGGGAAUAUUGGACAAUGGGCGCAAGCCUGAUCCAGCCAUGCCGCGUGAGUGAUGAAGGCCCUAGGGUUGUAAAGCUCUUUCCCCGGUGAAAAUAAUGACGGUAACCGGAGAAGAAGCCCCGGCUAACUUCGUGCCAGCAGCCGGGGUAAUACGAAGGGGGGCUAGCGUUUUCGGAAUUACUGGGGCGUAAAGCGCACGGAAGGCGGGUUUUAGAGGCCGGGGUGAAAUCCCCGAACUCCACUCUGGGAGCGGCUUUUGGGACUGGGGCACCAGAGCUUGGGAGGAGGAAGUGGGCUUUCCCGCUGGUGCAGGGGGAUUUCGUAAUAAUCGUGAGGGAACGCGGGGGGGAGGGGGUCGUUGAUGUGCCCUUUCCGGACGGUGAGGGGCCGCAAGGGUGGGGGGGCAGACGAGGAUGGACGCCCUUGGUCGGCNCGCCGGAGGGGGAGAGCGGGUAGCCCCGCGAGAGACAACCGUCAGGUGGCAGCGAUCACGCCGUUAGAGUUCCCCUAGGGGGGAAAUGGG